RNAcentral lists this unclassified non-coding RNA (232 nucleotides) under uncultured fungus. RNAcentral describes it as "partial contains 5.8S ribosomal RNA, internal transcribed spacer 2, and large subunit ribosomal RNA". The record is from RNAcentral. Lineage: Eukaryota; Fungi.
AACGCAUAUUGCGCCCUCUAGUAUUCUAGGAGGCAUGCCUGUUCGAGCGUCAUUUCAACCCUCAGGCCUGGCCUGGUGUUGGGGUCUUGCGUCUGCAAGCCCUGAAAUAUAGCGGCGGUCCUUCUGUGAAGCCCUGCGUAGUAAUACCUCUCGCUUGUCUCUCCAGAAGGCCCAGCCUCUAAUUUUAACUCCGGUUGACCUCGGAUCAGGUAGGAAUACCCGCUGAACUUAA